This 105-nucleotide small nucleolar RNA is filed under the name Carlito syrichta (Philippine tarsier). RNAcentral's name for it is "Small nucleolar RNA SNORA38 (ENSTSYG00000034067.1)". It matches the Rfam family "Small nucleolar RNA SNORA38", at positions 1 to 106 of the family's 131-position model. Rfam says of the family: ACA38 is a member of the H/ACA class of snoRNA that guide the sites of modification of uridines to pseudouridines. Lineage: Eukaryota; Metazoa; Chordata; Mammalia; Primates; Tarsiidae. The record is from Rfam by way of RNAcentral.
CCCUCCUACAAAGACAUGUCUAUAGUUCCUUGUCUAUGGAUGUGCAAAAAUUAGAGGCAAAAAAAUGUGGAUGUGGAAAUGUCUGGGGCAGCCUGUUCCCCAUGG